Chlorocebus sabaeus (green monkey) is the source of this 132-nucleotide small nuclear RNA. Its record names the gene U2. It matches the Rfam family "U2 spliceosomal RNA". Rfam says of the family: U2 is a small nuclear RNA (snRNA) component of the spliceosome (involved in pre-mRNA splicing). The record is from Ensembl. NCBI's taxonomy places the organism in Eukaryota, Metazoa, Chordata, Mammalia, Primates, Cercopithecidae.
AUCGCUUGUCGGCCUUUUGGCUAAGAUCAAGUGUAGUAUCUGUUCUUAUCAGAAGUUACUUUCUGGUUUUGUCCCACAAGUUAUGAUUGUUUAACCUAAUAAUUACAUUACUCAGGUACAGGGCAAGUCUUC